UCAAUCUAUCUUGUAUGGCGUCUUUCGAUUCUAGAGACACUUUACACGCAUUAACCCAUUGCAGGUCCAGAGCCCAGCUCCUCUGUGGUCAGUCAGUAUCGGUCAGUACCGUGUCCCUGCAGGUCCAGAGCCCAGCUCCUCUGUGGUCAGUCAGUGUCGGUCAGUACUGUGUCCCGCAGGUCCAGAGCUGAGUAGUGUCUAAGAAAUCGAAACUGAAACUGUGGAUAUGAAGAAUAAACAAGUCGUUUACU
This 251-nucleotide long non-coding RNA is filed under the name Lepisosteus oculatus (spotted gar). RNAcentral's name for it is "lncRNA (ENSLOCG00000022229.1)". Lineage: Eukaryota; Metazoa; Chordata; Actinopteri; Semionotiformes; Lepisosteidae. The record is from RNAcentral.